AUGCACGCUAGCGAUAGGCUUAACACAUGCAAGUCGCGGGGCAGCACAAGGUAGCUUGCUAUCUGGGUGGCGACCGGCGCACGGGUGCGUAACGCGUAUGCAACUUGCCCUAUACAGGAGGAUAACCCGUCGAAAGACGGACUAAUACUGCGUAUGCUCACAACUUGGCAUCAAGUGGUGAGGAAAGAAAUUCGGUAUAGGAUAGGCAUGCGUCCCAUUAGCUUGUUGGUGAGGUAACGGCUCACCAAGGCAACGAUGGGUAGGGGAACUGAGAGGUUUAUCCCCCACACUGGUACUGAGACACGGACCAGACUCCUACGGGAGGCAGCAGUGAGGAAUAUUGGUCAAUGGGCGCGAGCCUGAACCAGCCAAGUCGCGUGAAGGAUGACUGUCUUAUGGAUUGUAAACUUCUUUUAUACGGGAAUAACAAGAGUCACGUGUGACUCCCUGCAUGUACCGUAUGAAUAAGCAUCGGCUAACUCCGUG
Molecule: ribosomal RNA, 486 nt
Filed under: uncultured bacterium
Lineage: Bacteria
Description: partial 16S ribosomal RNA
Rfam family: Bacterial small subunit ribosomal RNA
Source: RNAcentral